UUUUAAGGAUUAAACAUAAUUUUGCUGGAUAGACUUUGAAAUUCUGUGAAUCUGUGUUGAAAAUAUGCUGCAAAGGUAACAAAGUAAAAUUGAAGUAUCAUUGCACCUAAUAAAACUUGCACCUCAUGCUUGAGAGGUGCCUUGGUUAUCAACUGCAGGAGUGAAAUAACGCACUCAAUUUCUUAAAAGUUUUAAGUUGUUGACCAAAGAAAAAAAACAUUGUUGUAUCCAUGUUUUGAUAGAGAAAGUGCGGUUUUAAUUAGACACAUUGGCGUCGUGUCUUUCAUUGUUGAAUUUUGGAGCUGGGAUUAGUAAAUAGAGACGAUUGCUGUAAUUUUGGGACAACUUAUUAUUUGACAUGUUGAAGCAAUUGUAUAUGCCUGUUUGAUCUUCUUAUAUCACAUUCUUUGAAGGUCUCAAUGAAAGAAAAGCAUGAUCAUUAUCAUGUCUAAGAUUUCAAAGAACUAACUGAAAAUCAAAGGCACAUACAUGAAAAACAUGUGUUGUUUCAGAUAUUCAUUUAUGCAGAGUGUUACUCUCAUAUCCAUAUGUUUGGUAACACCUGUUUUAGUAAAAUCUUGAGAAUACGUGGGGAUCAUUAUGUGUUUAAGUAGAUAAUUAUUUUCACUUUUCUUUCAAACCGCAAAUUGACUCAUGAAUUUCAUUGCAAAAAACAGAAGUCAUGUUUUAUAUAUGGAUUAGGAAACGAGAGAAAAAAUUUCACAUUCCUUCAUUCAAGGAAGAUACCUUUGAUAAUAGAUAUCUACAAAUUUCACAUUCCUUCAUUCAAGGAAGAUACCUUUGAUAAUUAUCCUUUGUUUAUGCUGUACAUCAAAAAACAGAAGUCAUGUU
RNAcentral lists this long non-coding RNA (852 nucleotides) under Nicotiana benthamiana. RNAcentral describes it as "long non-coding RNA (NBEN_LNC035896)". The record is from RNAcentral. Lineage: Eukaryota; Viridiplantae; Streptophyta; Magnoliopsida; Solanales; Solanaceae.